UACGUAGGGUGCGAGCGUUAAUCGGAAUUACUGGGCGUAAAGCGUGCGCAGGCGGCUUUGCAAGACAGAGGUGAAAUCCCCGGGCUCAACCUGGGAACUGCCUUUGUGACUGCAAGGCUAGAGUACGGCAGAGGGGGAUGGAAUUCCGCGUGUAACAGUGAAAUGCGUAGAUAUGUGGAGGAACACCAAUGGCGAAGGCAAUACCCUGGGCCUGUACUGACGCUCAUGCACGAAAGCGUGGGGAGCAAACAGGAUUAGAAACCCCGGUAGUCC
Molecule: ribosomal RNA, 273 nt
Filed under: uncultured Aquabacterium sp.
Lineage: Bacteria; Pseudomonadati; Pseudomonadota; Betaproteobacteria; Burkholderiales; Sphaerotilaceae
Description: partial 16S ribosomal RNA
Rfam family: Bacterial small subunit ribosomal RNA
Source: RNAcentral